UAGGGAAUCUUCGGCAAUGGACGAAAGUCUGACCGAGCAACGCCGCGUGAGUGAAGAAGGUUUUCGGAUCGUAAAACUCUGUUGGUAGAGAAGAACGUUGGUGAGAGUGGAAAGCUCAUCAAGUGACGGUAACUACCCAGAAAGGGACGGCUAACUACGUGCCGG
Molecule: ribosomal RNA, 165 nt
Filed under: uncultured bacterium
Lineage: Bacteria
Description: partial 16S ribosomal RNA
Rfam family: Bacterial small subunit ribosomal RNA
Source: RNAcentral